AGAGUUUGAUCAUGGCUCAGAUUGAACGCUGGCGGCAGGCCUAACACAUGCAAGUCGAACGGUAACAGGAAGCAGCUUGCUGCUUUGCUGACGAGUGGCGGACGGGUGAGUAAUGUCUGGGAAACUGCCUGAUGGAGGGGGAUAACUACUGGAAACGGUGGCUAAUACCGCAUAACGUCGCAAGACCAAAGAGGGGGACCUUCGGGCCUCUUGCCAUCAGAUGUGCCCAGAUGGGAUUAGCUUGUUGGUGGGGUAACGGCUCACCAAGGCGACGAUCCCUAGCUGGUCUGAGAGGAUGACCAGCCACACUGGAACUGAGACACGGUCCAGACUCCUACGGGAGGCAGCAGUGGGGAAUAUUGCACAAUGGGCGCAAGCCUGAUGCAGCCAUGCCGCGUGUAUGAAGAAGGCCUUCGGGUUGUAAAGUACUUUCAGCGGGGAGGAAGGUGUUGUGGUUAAUAACCGCAGCAAUUGACGUUACCCGCAGAAGAAGCACCGGCUAACUCCGUGCCAGCAGCCGCGGUAAUACGGAGGGUGCAAGCGUUAAUCGGAAUUACUGGGCGUAAAGCGCACGCAGGCGGUCUGUCAAGUCGGAUGUGAAAUCCCCGGGCUCAACCUGGGAACUGCAUUCGAAACUGGCAGGCUUGAGUCUUGUAGAGGGGGGUAGAAUUCCAGGUGUAGCGGUGAAAUGCGUAGAGAUCUGGAGGAAUACCGGUGGCGAAGGCGGCCCCCUGGACAAAGACUGACGCUCAGGUGCGAAAGCGUGGGGAGCAAACAGGAUUAGAUACCCUGGUAGUCCACGCCGUAAACGAUGUCUACUUGGAGGUUGUGCCCUUGAGGCGUGGCUUCCGGAGCUAACGCGUUAAGUAGACCGCCUGGGGAGUACGGCCGCAAGGUUAAAACUCAAAUGAAUUGACGGGGGCCCGCACAAGCGGUGGAGCAUGUGGUUUAAUUCGAUGCAACGCGAAGAACCUUACCUGGUCUUGACAUCCACAGAACUUUCCAGAGAUGGACUGGUGCCUUCGGGAACUGUGAGACAGGUGCUGCAUGGCUGUCGUCAGCUCGUGUUGUGAAAUGUUGGGUUAAGUCCCGCAACGAGCGCAACCCUUAUCCUUUGUUGCCAGCGGUCCGGCCGGGAACUCAAAGGAGACUGCCAGUGAUAAACUGGAGGAAGGUGGGGAUGACGUCAAGUCAUCAUGGCCCUUACGACCAGGGCUACACACGUGCUACAAUGGCGCAUACAAAGAGAAGCGACCUCGCGAGAGCAAGCGGACCUCAUAAAGUGCGUCGUAGUCCGGAUUGGAGUCUGCAACUCGACUCCAUGAAGUCGGAAUCGCUAGUAAUCGUGGAUCAGAAUGCCACGGUGAAUACGUUCCCGGGCCUUGUACACACCGCCCGUCACACCAUGGGAGUGGGUUGCAAAAGAAGUAGGUAGCUUAACCUUCGGGAGGGCGCUUACCACUUUGUGAUUCAUGACUGGGGUGAAGUCGUAACAAGGUAACCGUAGGGGAACCUGCGGUUGGAUCACCU
Molecule: ribosomal RNA, 1530 nt
Filed under: Salmonella enterica subsp. enterica
Lineage: Bacteria; Pseudomonadati; Pseudomonadota; Gammaproteobacteria; Enterobacterales; Enterobacteriaceae
Description: bacterial SSU rRNA
Rfam family: Bacterial small subunit ribosomal RNA
Source: RNAcentral